AUACUUACUUGUCAGGGGAGACACCAUGAGCAGGCAGGUGGUUUUCCCAGGGCAAGACUCAUCCCUUGCACUCCGGGUGUGCUGACCUCUGCAAUUUCCCCAAAUGUGGGAAACUUGACAUGCCUAGAGAUGUAGGCAGCAUCUCUAG
Amazona collaria (yellow-billed parrot) is the source of this 148-nucleotide small nuclear RNA. Its record names the gene U1. It matches the Rfam family "U1 spliceosomal RNA". From Rfam's summary of the family: U1 is a small nuclear RNA (snRNA) component of the spliceosome (involved in pre-mRNA splicing). Its 5' end forms complementary base pairs with the 5' splice junction, thus defining the 5' donor site of an intron. There are significant differences in sequence and secondary structure between metazoan and yeast U1 snRNAs, the latter being much longer (568 nucleotides as compared to 164 nucleotides in human). The record is from Ensembl. NCBI's taxonomy places the organism in Eukaryota, Metazoa, Chordata, Aves, Psittaciformes, Psittacidae.